This 168-nucleotide small RNA is filed under the name Streptomyces sp. RNAcentral's name for it is "c-di-AMP sequence". It matches the Rfam family "c-di-AMP riboswitch aptamer (ydaO/yuaA leader)". From Rfam's summary of the family: This family represents a conserved RNA structure found upstream of the ydaO and yuaA genes in Bacillus subtilis and related genes in other bacteria. The ydaO/yuaA element is thought to act as a genetic "off" switch for the ydaO and yuaA genes in its native state. It is believed that the element may be triggered during osmotic shock leading to activation of ydaO, a predicted amino acid transporter gene, and members of the yuaA-yubG operon which code for KtrA and KtrB K+ transporters. The record is from RNAcentral. Lineage: Bacteria; Bacillati; Actinomycetota; Actinomycetes; Kitasatosporales; Streptomycetaceae.
GGCAAUCGAGCACCACAGCGGACGGGAGCGGGGGACCCAGGUCAGUGCCCGGCCGCGCGCCAACCGUGCGCGUGUGUCGAGGCUAGGGGUGAAGCCGCUCUCCGGGCGGCCGGGCAACCUCGCGCCCGAACCCGACAGCUCACCUCGUAGGCGUCGCAGAGGACCACU